AACCUUAUGGACCUGCGGGCGUAUACCUGCGGAAGGAUCAUUAAAAAACUUUUUGCCCGCGACCUCCGCGUCCGAGGCAAAAAACUCACACUGUGUGCACCGUUACCGUUUCCUUUGGCAGGGGCUUGGGGUUCUCCUCGUCGAGAUCCCAACUUCUCUACUGGCUCCAUCCCAAUAUAAUCCCUUCGCGGGAGUUUUGGGACAGCCAGACAUGGGAAGCCGUACCCUGCCAGAUGACCC
RNAcentral lists this unclassified non-coding RNA (240 nucleotides) under soil metagenome. RNAcentral describes it as "partial contains 5.8S ribosomal RNA, internal transcribed spacer 2, and large subunit ribosomal RNA". The record is from RNAcentral.